This 511-nucleotide ribosomal RNA is filed under the name uncultured bacterium. Its description in RNAcentral is "bacterial SSU rRNA". It matches the Rfam family "Bacterial small subunit ribosomal RNA", at positions 28 to 525 of the family's 1533-position model. The record is from RNAcentral.
GACGAACGCUGGCGGUGUGCUUAACACAUGCAAGUGGUGCGACGAACCAGAGCUUGCUCUGGGGCAAAGCCGCGAACGGGUGAGUAACACGUGGGUAAUCUACCCCGAUGACCGGGACAAUCCGAGGAAACUCGGGCUAAUACCGGAUGUGGUACGGAGACAUAAGUCUCUUUACUAAAGGUAGCUUCGGCUUCCGCAUUGGGAGGGGCCCGCGGCCCAUUAGCUAGUUGGUGGGGUCAAGGCCUACCAAGGCAACGAUGGGUAGCUGGUCUGAGAGGACGAUCAGCCACACUGGGACUGAGACACGGCCCAGACUCCUACGGGAGGCAGCAGUGGGGAAUCUUGCGCAAUGCGCGAAAGCGUGACGCAGCAACACCGCGUGAGGGAAGACGGCCUUAGGGUUGUAAACCUCUUUCAGAUGGGACGAAGGUGAUGCGGUGAAUAGCCGAUGUCAUUGACGGUACCGUCAGAAGAAGCUCCGGCUAACUACGUGCCAGCAGCCGCGGUAAUC